AACGAACGCUGGCGGCAGGCCUAACACAUGCAAGUCGAGCGAGACCUUCGGGUCUAGCGGCGGACGGGUGAGUAACGCGUGGGAACGUGCCCUUUUCUACUGAAUAGCCUCGGGAAACUGAGCGUAAUACCGUAUACGCCCUUUGGGGGAAAGAUUUAUCGGAGAAGGAGCGUCCCGCGUUGCAUUAGGUAGUUGGUGGGGUAAUGGCCUAACAAGCCUACGAUCCAUAGCUGGUUUGAGAGGAUGAUCAGACACACUGGGACUGAGACACGGCACAGACUCCUACGGGAGGCAGCAGUGGGGAAUCUUAGACAAUGGGGGCAACCCUGAUCUAGCCAUGCCGCGUGAGUGAUGAAGGCCUUAGGGUUGUAAAGCUCUUUCAGCUGGGAAGAUAAUGACGGUACCAGCGGAAGAAGCCCCGGCUAACUCCGUG
Molecule: ribosomal RNA, 433 nt
Filed under: uncultured bacterium
Lineage: Bacteria
Description: partial 16S ribosomal RNA
Rfam family: Bacterial small subunit ribosomal RNA
Source: RNAcentral